Chelydra serpentina (North American snapping turtle) is the source of this 1841-nucleotide long non-coding RNA. The record is from Ensembl. Lineage: Eukaryota; Metazoa; Chordata; Testudines; Chelydridae.
CGCCAUUUUCGGCGCCGAGGGGAGAGCGGCGGCUGGCGGAAGAAGAGCAGAGCAGCAGCAGCCGCCGCCGCGCCCCCUCCCCCACCCCGCCGGGCCGCGAGCAGGUACUGCCCCCUCCCGGGGCGUGGGCGUGGCCAGGCUGCUUCCCGGAAGGUGGCGUGAGCCGGAGCCGCUCGCUGGGGGCCAUGAGCGGAGCGCUUCCAAACAAAGGACACAAAAAGAGAGAGGAAGAAAAAGGAGAAGAUUCCAUUGACACCGAAUGCAGCGAACUAGGAAACAUGGAUCUGAAAUUCAACUCCUCAAGGAAAUAUAUUUCGAUCAGUGUACCUUCCAAAUCGCAAGCCAUGUCACCUCAUAUCAAAUCAGUAGAUGACAUAAUCGUUCUCGGCAUGAAUCUCAGCAAAUUUAACAAACCCACUCAGUUUUUUAUUUGUGUUUCUGGAGUUUUUAUGUUUUAUCUAAUCUAUGGAUAUUUACAGGAACUGAUAUUUUCAGUGGAGGGUUUUAAGCCCUUUGGUUGGUACCUUACUUUAGUGCAAUUUGGGUUUUAUUCCAUUUUUGGACUAAUAGAACUGCAGCUUAUUCAGGAUAAAAGGAGACGAAUCCCAGGCAAAACCUACAUGAUAAUAGCCUUUCUAACUGUAGGGACUAUGGGUUUAUCAAAUACCUCCCUAGGAUAUCUGAAUUAUCCUACUCAAGUCAUCUUUAAGUGCUGUAAACUGAUUCCUGUUAUGAUAGGAGGAGUCUUUAUACAAGGAAAACGUUAUAAUAUUGCAGAUGUGUCUGCUGCAAUGUGUAUGAGUCUUGGUCUAAUAUGGUUUACUUUAGCUGACAGCACAAUCGCACCAAAUUUCAACUUGACAGGUGUGGUCCUUAUAUCCCUUGCUCUCUGUGCAGAUGCAGUUAUAGGAAAUGUGCAGGAAAAAGCUAUGAAGUUGCACAAUGGUUCCAAUUCAGAAAUGGUUCUGUAUUCCUAUUCAAUAGGUUUUGUGUACAUUUUAUUGGGAUUGACAUGUACUAGCGGAUUAAGCCCUGCAGUAACAUUUUGUUCAAAGCAUCCAGUUCAGACAUAUGGUUAUGCAUUCUUUUUCUCCCUGACUGGAUAUUUUGGAAUAUCCUUUGUUCUAGCGUUGAUUAAAAUCUUCGGUGCCCUUCUAGCUGUAACAGUAACAACAGGAAGAAAGGCAAUGACCAUUGUGCUUUCUUUUUUGUUCUUUGCAAAGCCAUUCACAUUCCAGUAUGUGUGGUCAGGUUUAUUAGUUGUCCUGGGUAUAUUUCUGAAUGUUUACAGUAAGAAUAUGGAUAAAAUCAAGCUGCCUUCACUACGAGGUCUUUGGAACAAAACUGUGGAAGAAAGACAGACAAGGACGUUGUCACAAACUGUGUAGACAAUGGUUUUAUGCCGUGUCUUGAAUCUGACUUAUUUUAUUGGAACAGUCUUCAACUGGUUCACUUUCCAAAGGGAACAUUAUUAAAACCAAAGGAGAUGAAGGCACAUAGUCUGCUUGCAGAUGAUUUGACAUGAACAGUUUUAUGUGAGCCUUCUCUUCAGAGCACUUGAAUUCAUCAUAGGUGUUAUAUAUCAUUGUCAGAAGGCAUUAUCAAGCCAAUGAAGGAAAGCAACUCCUGGCAGACUGCUGAAAAACUAUGCUUCAAAUGGAGGACAGUAGAACAUUAAUUUGGGCAUUUUUAUCAUAUCAGAUGUGGCUGAUUUGAGAUUAGUGGUUCUUUGUUUUUAUUGCGGGGGUGGGAUUAUUUAAAAGUAAAAGUAAUACCGUAUUAACACUUAAUGGAAGCUAAUCAGCAACUGAUUGACCAAAUUAAAAUGUUAAAGUUGGAAG